GUGGGGAAUUUUUCGCAAUGGGGGAAACCCUGACGAAGCAACGCCGCGUGGAGGAUGAAGGCCUUCGGGUCGUAAACUCCUGUCGACCGGGACGAAAGUGGUCCGGGCCAAUACCCCGGGCCAUCGACUGUACCGGUGGAGGAAGCCACGGCUAACUCUGUGCCAGCAGCCGCGGUAAUACAGAGGUGGCAAGCGUUGUUCGGAAUUACUGGGCGUAAAGGGCGCGUAGGCGGUCUUGUAAGUCCCGUGUGAAAUCCCUCGGCUCAACUGAGGAACUGCACGGGAAACUGCUUGGCUUGAGUUCGGGAGAGGGAAGCGGAAUUCCGGGUGUAGCGGUGAAAUGCGUAGAUAUCCGGAGGAACACCGGUGGCGAAGGCGGCUUCCUGGACCGACACUGACGCUGAGGCGCGAAAGCUAGGGGAGCAAACGGGAUUAGAAACCCCGGUAGUCC
Molecule: ribosomal RNA, 451 nt
Filed under: uncultured bacterium
Lineage: Bacteria
Description: bacterial SSU rRNA
Rfam family: Bacterial small subunit ribosomal RNA
Source: RNAcentral